Molecule: transfer RNA, 73 nt
Filed under: Planctomycetaceae bacterium
Lineage: Bacteria; Pseudomonadati; Planctomycetota; Planctomycetia; Planctomycetales; Planctomycetaceae
Description: tRNA-Thr
Rfam family: tRNA
About the family: Transfer RNA (tRNA) molecules are approximately 80 nucleotides in length. Their secondary structure includes four short double-helical elements and three loops (D, anti-codon, and T loops).
Source: RNAcentral
GCAUCGGUGGUCUAAACAGGUAAGACAUCGCUCUUGUAAAGCGACGAUGCGGGUUCGAGGCCCGCCUGGUGCU